This 200-nucleotide unclassified non-coding RNA is filed under the name Capnodiales sp. Its description in RNAcentral is "partial internal transcribed spacer 2". The record is from RNAcentral. Lineage: Eukaryota; Fungi; Ascomycota; Dothideomycetes; Capnodiales.
UUAAGUUCAGCGGGUAUCCCUACCUGAUCCGAGGUCAACCUUAGAAAUGGGGUUGUUUUACGGCGUAGCCUCCCGAACACCCUUUAGCGAAUAGUUUCCACAACGCUUGGAGGGACAGAAGCCCAGCCGGUCGAUUUGAGGCACGCGGCGGACCGCGUUGCCCAAUACCAAGCGAGGCUUGAGUGGUGAAAUGACGCUCG